AUGCGUGAUCAGGUCGGCCUGGACCUAGAUGGCUUCCCUCUCGACCAUGAGUUCCCGGAGGACUACGGGCUAGAGGAAGAGGAUGAGUGCGACAUCGAAGGGGAGCCUUUGUUCGAGGACGAGCUCGCCAACCAAGCCACCGGAUCGAAGCCGAAGCGCAAGAGCAAGCGGACCAAGGCAUACACGACGGCCGAGGACAAACUUCUUUGCGAGUGUUGGAGAGACAUUGGGCAAGACCCCAAGACGGGCGCCGAACAAAAGCAUUCAACUUUUUGA
Molecule: ribosomal RNA, 276 nt
Filed under: Triticum aestivum (bread wheat)
Lineage: Eukaryota; Viridiplantae; Streptophyta; Magnoliopsida; Poales; Poaceae
Description: partial small subunit ribosomal RNA
Source: RNAcentral